RNAcentral lists this ribosomal RNA (465 nucleotides) under uncultured Streptococcus sp. RNAcentral's name for it is "bacterial SSU rRNA". It matches the Rfam family "Bacterial small subunit ribosomal RNA", at positions 338 to 795 of the family's 1533-position model. The record is from RNAcentral. Lineage: Bacteria; Bacillati; Bacillota; Bacilli; Lactobacillales; Streptococcaceae.
CCUACGAGUGGCAGCAGUAGGGAAUCUUCGGCAAUGGACGGAAGUCUGACCGAGCAACGCCGCGUGAGUGAAGAAGGUUUUCGGAUCGUAAAGCUCUGUUGUAAGAGAAGAACGAGUGUGAGAGUGGAAAGUUCACACUGUGACGGUAUCUUACCAGAAAGGGACGGCUAACUACGUGCCAGCAGCCGCGGUAAUACGUAGGUCCCGAGCGUUGUCCGGAUUUAUUGGGCGUAAAGCGAGCGCAGGCGGUUAGAUAAGUCUGAAGUUAAAGGCUGUGGCUUAACCAUAGUACGCUUUGGAAACUGUUUAACUUGAGUGCAGAAGGGGAGAGUGGAAUUCCAUGUGUAGCGGUGAAAUGCGUAGAUAUAUGGAGGAACACCGGUGGCGAAAGCGGCUCUCUGGUCUGUAACUGACGCUGAGGCUCGAAAGCGUGGGGAGCAAACAGGAUUAGAUACCCGAGUAGUC